Homo sapiens (human) is the source of this 1745-nucleotide long non-coding RNA. The record is from Ensembl. Lineage: Eukaryota; Metazoa; Chordata; Mammalia; Primates; Hominidae.
AUCACAAGACCAUCUUUGCUAGCCAGGCCUCCUCUUCUCUCCUUCUCAUAACCUGUUUUGCCGUGAUCCAAGCCCCCGUUCUUUCUGUAACAAGAUGGUAUAUAAGCUUUUGCACCCCACUGGGGCAGGGGUGGGUGAUCACUCUGUGAUGCUCCCCAUGUACACAUUCAUAAAAUGUGUAUGCCUUUUCUCCCAUUAAUUUGCCUUUUGUGAGUUGACUUUUUUGUAAACUGUCUGAGGGUAAAGGGGAAGUGUUCUCUCCCUUUGCCCUACAGUUUUGGCACUGUGAGCAGGAUCACCAAAGCCGCUCUGUUUUUUUGGAAGCAGCAGUGAGGGGAAUCUAAGCCCUGAUUGGCCAGCAUAAGGGUAAGAAUUUAUUAUUUUAUUUUAUUUUAUUUUAUUUUUUGAGAUGGAGUUUUCACUCUUGUUGCCCAGGCUGGAGUGCAAUGGUGCGAUCUUGGCUCACUGCAACAUCCGCCUCCCAGGUUCAAGCGAUUCUUCUGUCUCAGCCUCCUGAGUAGCUGGGAUUACAGAUGCCUGCUACUAUGCCUGGCUAAUUUUUGCUAUCAGGACACAGUUAGAGGCACUGGUUAUUUUACCAAGGCUUUGACUGGAAUGGCAUAUUUUCAGACAUGAACAGACUGCUUUAAGGAAUUCACAUUGACUUUAUUGAGCUGCUAAGACAUCCCUUGGACAGACUGGCCUGGUAAUUUUUCUAUGCAGUUCCUUUACAAGGUUCCUGAGCUGUGGUGAGAAUGCAACAUUCUGACAGGCCCAUGCACCUCAAGUUAUUUUGAGACCUCAAGAAAAGAGAAAUUCAUCCAAUUUGUACAGGUAUUGAAGACAGUAUGGUGGCAAAUCCUUGGCUUGGCUUUCCACCCUCAAGGCUUUUAAAAAUGUAAUCUGUCAGAUUGCCACUGCAGUCCAAAGAUGCUCCAGAGACUCCAGAAAGACUAUUCUAUAGACUACUCCAGUCAUUAACCUUAAUUUUUCUUCUGUAUCCAUAGAAAUGCCUCUUAUUAAAGAUCUGUUUUCCUGCAUCAUACAUAGAGGCCUAGCCCAUCCGUUAUGCCACCUCCUGGAAUGGGACACAGCUGUUUAAUUGAGCUGAUCUAUCCUCAGAACUAAGAGACUGACUAAAGAAGAUAUGGAAUUCUAUAUUUAACUUUGCUCUUUUCUGCUUAUCCCAAUUGUUUUUUCCACUUUUCUUCUAUAUCUAACAACCUCUAACCAAAGUCUCUCCAAAGCAAUCAGCUUGGCCUUUAAAAUGUGAAAUUUUAAAGUUUCAAAGUGGGGACUAAAGGAUAUCAAAAUAUUUUAUCCCCCAAAAUAUAUUUCUUUGACAUAUUUUGAGAUGGCUGUCAGAGAGCUAGCAUACAGAAGUAGCCCUGCAAAGUUAUAUCUUGUGGGGGAAAUUUGCAUCUGUAGAAAAUCUGCAUUGAUGAAGCCAGGCCUUCCCUUGUCUAGAUCUGGGAAAGAUUAACUGAGAGUCUGAAACACCUUUAAAGGUCUGAAAGAAACAUUUGCCAUCUAUUCUCUAACAGGACUGCUACCUGUGAAGUUUCAACUAUGUAAUGAGAACACCUUUGCUAGCCAAGCCUCCUCUUUUCUCCCUUUGGUAAUCUGUUUUGCCACAGCCGAAGCCCUCAUUCUUUUUGUAACCUCAAGAUGGCAUUUAAGCUUCUGCAUUCCAUUGCGGGGUUGGGUAAUCACUCAGUAAUGUUCCCCAUGUGUAUGCUAAUAAA